CAGCCGCCGCGGUAAUACAGAGGGUGCAAGCGUUAAUCGGAAUUACUGGGUGUAAAGCGCGCGUAGGUUGUUUGUUAAGUUGGAUGUGAAAGCCCCGGGCUCAACCUGGGAACUGCAUCCAAAACUGGCAAGCUAGAGUACGGUAGAGGGUGGUGGAAUUUCCUGUGUAGCGGUGAAAUGCGUAGAUAUAGGAAGGAACACCAGUGGCGAAGGCGACCACCUGGACUGAUACUGACACUGAGGUGCGAAAGCGUGGGGAGCAAACAGGAUUAGAUACCCCCGUAGUCCCUGUCUCUUAUAC
This 301-nucleotide ribosomal RNA is filed under the name uncultured bacterium. RNAcentral's name for it is "partial 16S ribosomal RNA". It matches the Rfam family "Bacterial small subunit ribosomal RNA", at positions 509 to 807 of the family's 1533-position model. The record is from RNAcentral.